AUGGAAUUUCUGGACUUGAAGGAUGAUGAAUUGGAUGAUGUGAUUGUUGGGGAUGAGGAGGUGAAGCGAUUUGAGGCUGAUGCUAGAUGGCUGGCGAUCGGGAAACUGAAUACGUCCCGCCCGUUCAGCUCUCCUGCCAUGUUCGAGACCUUGAAGUCAGUUUGGGGAUUAGCGCAUGUGCCAAGAUACAGGGAAGCAGGGGAUAAUCUCUUUAUAUUCCAGAUGUUUUGUUUGGGCGAUUGGAAGAAAGUCGUGCAUGGUGGCCCGUGGCUGUUCAAGGGCAUGGGCUUGCUUGUGGAAGAUUACGCUGGUAAAACUGAUCCCACUUCUGUUUCUUUCGACGGACUAUAUGUUUGGGCGCAGAUUCACAAGAUCCCAGAGCUGUACCGCCACGUGGAUGUUGUUGACCAGCUUGCUGCCCGGAUUGGUAGGGUUAAAGAGGUUCAGCUUGCCCCAAAACUUUACUAUGAAGGGGAU
RNAcentral lists this ribosomal RNA (477 nucleotides) under Triticum aestivum (bread wheat). RNAcentral describes it as "partial small subunit ribosomal RNA". The record is from RNAcentral. Lineage: Eukaryota; Viridiplantae; Streptophyta; Magnoliopsida; Poales; Poaceae.